RNAcentral lists this ribosomal RNA (756 nucleotides) under uncultured archaeon. Its description in RNAcentral is "bacterial SSU rRNA". It matches the Rfam family "Archaeal small subunit ribosomal RNA", at positions 102 to 858 of the family's 1478-position model. The record is from RNAcentral.
GGAUAACCUACCCUUAGGACCGGGAUAACCUUGGGAAACUGAGGAUAAUACUGGAUAGGCAAUUAUUCCUGUAAUGGUUUUUUGUUUAAAUGUUUUUUCGCCUAAGGAUGGGUCUGCGGCCGAUUAGGUAGUUGGUUAGGUAAUGGCUUACCAAGCCUUUGAUCGGUACGGGUUGUGAGAGCAAGAGCCCGGAGAUGGAACCUGAGACAAGGUUCCAGGCCCUACGGGGUGCAGCAGGCGCGAAACCUCCGCAAUGUGAGAAAUCGCGACGGGGGGAUCCCAAGUGCCAUUCUUAACGGGAUGGCUUUUCUUUAGUGUAAAAAGCUUUUGGAAUAAGAGCUGGGCAAGACCGGUGCCAGCCGCCGCGGUAACACCGGCAGCUCUAGUGGUAGCAAUUUUUAUUGGGCCUAAAGCGUCCGUAGCCGGUUUAAUAAGUCUCUGGUGAAAUCCUGUAGCUUAACUGUGGGAAUUGCUGGAGAUACUAUUAGACUUGAGACCGGGAGAGGUUAGAGGUACUCCCAGGGUAGAGGUGAAAUUCUGUAAUCCUGGGAGGACCGCCUGUUGCGAAGGCGUCUAACUGGAACGGUUCUGACGGUGAGGGACGAAAGUUAGGGGCGCGAACCGGAUUAGAUACCCGGGUAGUCCUAACUGUAAACGAUGCGGACUUGGUGUUGGGGUGGCUUUGAGUUGCUUCAGUGCCGAAGGGAAGCUGUUAAGUCCGCCGCCUGGGAAGUACGGUCGCAAGACUGAAACUUA